UUUUUUUGAAGAUACAUUCAAUUAUUCUAGAAAACAUAUGUUUUACGUAAAAUUAGUAGAGCACCGGUGUAAAUUAAGGUUGAUUUAGAACCUUUGGUAGAUGAAGUUAAGGGUACAUUGAGGAUACAUUGUUUGCGUAUUCUAGCCAUUUGAUGAUUAAUGGGUUUAUGCAGUUGGGUAGUGUGUAUGCACAUUUGUUUAGAGAAAACAAAUAGUCUAUAAUUUUAGAUUCCAACCCCUUCUUCGGAUGAUUAACAUAAGUGAUGUUAAGUUAUUAAAUGGUGCAAGUUGUUUAUGGUGUUAGAUUACGCCAUAUUUACAUAUUGUUAAUAGAUUAAGAGAAGUAUCUUCAUAAAGUAGCACAUUAAAGAAAAACAUGGAUAUGUUUGCCCUUAGGGAUUUACUAGUAUUGUUGUAGUAGACUGAUAUUUGUAAAGAAAAAAUAAGAGACAUAUGAACUUCAGAACUUAAUGACAAAAUUUAAGUGAAAUAGAUAAUUGAUAUAAAAGGAAAAC
This 515-nucleotide long non-coding RNA is filed under the name Mytilus galloprovincialis (Mediterranean mussel). Lineage: Eukaryota; Metazoa; Mollusca; Bivalvia; Mytilida; Mytilidae. The record is from RNAcentral.